RNAcentral lists this ribosomal RNA (393 nucleotides) under uncultured bacterium. RNAcentral's name for it is "partial 16S ribosomal RNA". It matches the Rfam family "Bacterial small subunit ribosomal RNA", at positions 523 to 918 of the family's 1533-position model. The record is from RNAcentral.
AUACGGAGGAUGCAAGCGUUAUCCGGAUUUAUUGGGUUUAAAGGGUGCGUAGGCGGUUUGCUAAGCGGGAGGUGAAAUGCCGGCGCUCAACGUCGGAAGUGCCUCCCGAACUGGUGGACUUGAAUGACUCUGCCGUGGGAGGAAUGGGUAGUGUAGCGGUGAAAUGCUUAGAGAUUACACAGAACACCGAUUGCGAAGGCAUCUCACGAAGGGUUGAUUGACGCUGAGGCACGAAAGCGUGGGGAUCAAACAGUAUUAGAUACCCUGGUAGUCCACGCAGUAAACGAUGAUGGCUAACCGCUGGGCUUAUCAGUUCAGUGGCCAAGCGAAAGCGAUAAGCCAUCCACCUGGGGAGUACGACCGCAAGGUUGAAACUCAAAGGAAUUGGCGGGG